CCCUUAGAUGUUCUGGGCUGCACGCGCGCUACACUGAUACCUUCAGCGAGUCCAGCACCUUGCCUGGGAAGGUGGGGUAACCUCUGGAAAGUGUAUCGUGAUGGGGAUAGAUUAUUGUAAUUAUUAAUCUUCAACGAGGAAUUCCUAGUAAGCAUGUGUCAUCAGCCCGUGCUGAUUACGUCCCUGCCCUUUGUACACACCGCCCGUCGCUCCUACCGAUUGAAUGCUCAGGUGAGCCAUUCGGACUUUCAUCAUGCUGGUUUCCAGUUUUGAUGAAGGAAAGUCUUGCGAACCUUAUCAUUUAGAGGAAGGAGAAGUCGUAACA
Molecule: ribosomal RNA, 325 nt
Filed under: uncultured eukaryote
Lineage: Eukaryota
Description: partial 18S ribosomal RNA
Rfam family: Eukaryotic small subunit ribosomal RNA
Source: RNAcentral